RNAcentral lists this ribosomal RNA (403 nucleotides) under uncultured bacterium. RNAcentral's name for it is "partial 16S ribosomal RNA". It matches the Rfam family "Bacterial small subunit ribosomal RNA", at positions 28 to 526 of the family's 1533-position model. The record is from RNAcentral.
GACGAACGCUGGCGGCGUGCCUAAUAAAUGCAAGUAGAACGCAGUGGGGACGGGUGAGUAACACGUGGGUAACCUACCAUCAGAGGGGAUAACACUUGGAAACAGGUGCUAAACAGCUACUGAUGGAGGGACCCGCGGUGCAGUAGCUAGUUGGUUAGGUAACGGAUCACCAAGGCCACGAUGCAUAGCCGGCCUGAGAGGGUGAUCGGCCACACUGGGACUGAGACACGGCCCAGACUCCUACGCGAGGCAGCAGUAGGGAAUCGUCGGCAAUGGACGAAAGUCUGACCGAGCAACGCCGCGUGAGUGAAGAAGGUUUUCUGAUCGUAAAACUCUGUUGUUAGAGAAGCGGUAUCUAACCAGAAAGCCACGGCUAGCUACGUGCCAGCCGCCGCGGUAAUAC